CGGGAGGUAAUGUCUGGGAAACGGCCUGAUGGAGGGGGAUAACUACUGGAAACGGUAGCUAAUACCGCAUAACGUCGCAAGACCAAAGAGGGGGGACCUCCGGGGCCUCAUGCCAUCAGAUGUGCCCAGAUGGGAUUAGCUAGUAGGUGGGGUAACGGCUCACCUAGGCGACGAUCCCUAGCUGGUCUGAGAGGAUGACCAGCCACACUGGAACUGAGACACGGUCCAG
Molecule: ribosomal RNA, 229 nt
Filed under: uncultured bacterium
Lineage: Bacteria
Description: partial 16S ribosomal RNA
Rfam family: Bacterial small subunit ribosomal RNA
Source: RNAcentral